This is a long non-coding RNA of Perognathus longimembris pacificus (Pacific pocket mouse), 97 nucleotides long. RefSeq lists it as uncharacterized. The transcript is spliced from 3 exons. The record is from RefSeq and is a predicted model, not a curated record. NCBI's taxonomy places the organism in Eukaryota, Metazoa, Chordata, Mammalia, Rodentia, Heteromyidae.
UAAAAUUACAUAGGUUUAAGAGUGUGGAAAGUGUUUAAGUGCAUAUGAAGUGUUUAUAAGAGUGUGGGAAAGGUUAAUAGGGGGUGGGUUGGGUUUA